Saccostrea echinata is the source of this 320-nucleotide long non-coding RNA. RefSeq lists it as uncharacterized. The transcript has 3 exons. The record is from RefSeq and is a predicted model, not a curated record. NCBI's taxonomy places the organism in Eukaryota, Metazoa, Mollusca, Bivalvia, Ostreida, Ostreidae.
CCACAACCACCACACGCACCACCCACAUGUGACAAGAGAACCAAUCGUAUAUGGUCAAGCGUACUUCAAAUAUGACCAUUAUUGUCAUCUCAUGGCUUACAAAGAUGAAACCCUCACAUGUUACAUUUUUGCGGUUCACCCAGAUGACCGACAUCUUGUGCAUACUGCAAGCGGGCUACUGUCUCUUGAGGUGAAGAUGUUGACCUUGGCUAUCAAUGCUACUGAGCCCUACCUCCGGGACGACUUGGAGGUGAGAAGUAAACGCCUGGCAAGCAUGUGUCCUAAAGACUACACCCUCAUCAGUCUUAAUUAAAUGUAAA